GUGGGGAAUAUUGGACAAUGGGCGAAAGCCUGAUCCAGCAAUGCCGCGUGAGUGAAGAAGGCCUUAGGGUUGUAAAGCUCUUUUACCCGGGAAGAUAAUGACUGUACCGGGAGAAUAAGCCCCGGCUAACUCCGUGCCAGCAGCCGCGGUAAUACGGAGGGGGCUAGCGUUGUUCGGAAUUACUGGGCGUAAAGCGCACGUAGGCGGCUUUGUAAGUUAGAGGUGAAAGCCCAGGGCUCAACCCUGGAACUGCCUUUAAGACUGCAUCGCUUGAACACGGGAGAGGUGAGUGGAAUUCCGAGUGUAGAGGUGAAAUUCGUAGAUAUUCGGAAGAACACCAGUGGCGAAGGCGACUCACUGGACCGUUGUUGACGCUGAGGUGCGAAAGCGUGGGGAGCAAACAGGAUUAGAAACCCCGGUAGUCC
This 425-nucleotide ribosomal RNA is filed under the name uncultured bacterium. Its description in RNAcentral is "partial 16S ribosomal RNA". It matches the Rfam family "Bacterial small subunit ribosomal RNA", at positions 354 to 796 of the family's 1533-position model. The record is from RNAcentral.